This 873-nucleotide ribosomal RNA is filed under the name Inocybe sp. 4 TM02_127. Its description in RNAcentral is "eukaryotic LSU rRNA". It matches the Rfam family "Eukaryotic large subunit ribosomal RNA", at positions 75 to 932 of the family's 3401-position model. Lineage: Eukaryota; Fungi; Basidiomycota; Agaricomycetes; Agaricales; Inocybaceae. The record is from RNAcentral.
UUCCCCUAGUAACUGCGAGUGAAGCGGGAAAAGCUCAAAUUUGAAAUCUGGCGGUUCUUGACCGUCCGAGUUGUAAUCUAGAGAAGUGUUACCUGUGCUGGACCGUGUACAAGUCUCCUGGAAUGGAGCAUCAUAGAGGGUGAGAAUCCCGUCUUUGACACGGACUGCCUGUACAUUAUGGUGUGCUCUCAAAGAGUCGAGUUGUUUGGGAAUGCAGCUCAAAAUGGGUGGUAAAUGCCAUCUAAAGCUAAAUAUUGGCGAGAGACCGAUAGCGAACAAGUACCGUGAGGGAAAGAUGAAAAGAACUUUGGAAAGAGAGUUAAACAGUACGUGAAAUUGCUGAAAGGGAAACGCUUGAAGUCAGUCGCGUUGGCUAGAAAUCAACCUUGCUUUUGCUUUGUGUACUUUCUGGUUGACGGGUCAGCAUCAAUUUUGACCACUGGAUAAAGUCUUUGGGAAUGUGGCAUCUUCGGAUGUGUUAUAGCCCAUUGUCGCAUACGGUGGUUGGGAUUGAGGAACUCAGCACGCCGCAAGGCCGGGAUUUGACCACGUUCGUGCUUAGGAUGCUGGCAUAAUGGCUUUAAUCGACCCGUCUUGAAACACGGACCAAGGAGUCUAACAUGCCUGCGAGUGUUUGGGUGGAAAAACCCAUGCGCGCAAUGAAAGUGAAAGUUGAGAUCCUCUUCAAAGGAGGAGCAUUGACGCCCGGACCAGACCUUUUGUGACGGAUCCGCGGUAGAGCAUGCAUGUUGGGACCCGAAAGAUGGUGAACUAUGCCUGAAUAGGGUGAAGCCAGAGGAAACUCUGGUGGAGGCUCGUAGCGAUUCUGACGUGCAAAUCGAUCGUCAAAUUUGGGUAUAGGGGCGAAAGACU